GAUGAAGAACGUAGUAAAAUGCGAUAAGUAAUGUGAAUUGCAGAAUUCAGUGAAUCAUCGAAUCUUUGAACGCACAUUGCGCCCGCUGGUAUUCCGGCGGGCAUGCCUGUUCGAGCGUCAUUUCAACCCUCAAGCCCCCGGGUUUGGUGUUGGGGAUCGGCUCUGCCUUCUGGCGGUGCCGCCCCCGAAAUACAUUGGCGGUCUCGCUGCAGCAUCCAUUGCGUAGUAGCUAACACCUCGCAACUGGAACGCGGCGCGGCCAUGCCGUAAAACCCCAACUUCUGAAUGUUGACCUCGGAUCAGGUAGGAAUACCCGCUGAACUUAAGCAUAUCAAUAAGCGGAGGA
RNAcentral lists this unclassified non-coding RNA (346 nucleotides) under soil metagenome. Its description in RNAcentral is "partial contains 5.8S ribosomal RNA, internal transcribed spacer 2, and large subunit ribosomal RNA". The stretch from base 1 to 120 matches the Rfam family "5.8S ribosomal RNA", at positions 35 to 154 of the family's 154-position model. The record is from RNAcentral.